CAAUUUUUUCCUAUCUCAUCCGUAAGUCAAAUAGAAAACACAAAAAGAGAAAGAAAAGAAAAUUUCCCUUUCCACCAUGCGCCGCUUCCUCCUUCACCUGCGAGCUUCUCCAAACCCUCUCCAUCCCUUGUUUCUCUUCACUUUCUUGCUCUCUCUUUUCUUCAUCAAUGAAAGAUUGAUUUUUCUACUGGCCUGGGUUAACUCGUGUAACCAUUGCCAUCACCGACCACCACCACCACCACCGUAACCGUUGACGAUAGCCACCGUUCAUCAUCCUACUCCUUGGACUUCGUUUCCAUCCGAUCCGCCUCAGAUUCGCAUCUCUGUCAUCGUUUGUUCAUCUCAGAUCUACGUCGCCAAGGGCUUUCAACCAGAAUUGCUGCUCUUAUCGCAACACCACACCUCCGUCGCUUGCACCGCCACUGUUCUUGCACGUAGAUGCACAAGAUCAUCGCCGCCGGUUGGAGUUAUGGCUUUUGUCACAAGUUGAGCCCUCAGAGAUAUUUUUGAAAUCUAUAUCGAAUGAAGCCACUAGCGUCGAAGUCAUUUACCCUUCAAGUCUGAAUGCACAAUUUGUUCGCCGAAGAUUAAGACAUAUUGCUAUGAGGUUUUACCUUUGCCUAAUAUCGCAUUCUUCUGGGUUUCAUUUCGGGCUUAUUCUCAUUGGAGAGCCCUUCAGGUUUGUACUACUAUUAGAUUUGCAAUGCACUUGCAGUUUAUUAUUCUCCCUCUAUAAUAAUUUAUGGUAAUCUGUCUAUUUUGAAUACAAACACUAGCAUGCAAUUUCGUGUUAUUUCAAAUACAAACACUAGUUAUUAUUCACUUUAGAGUUUAGAUUUUAGACUACCAUUUUAAUUUUUAACCAAGUCUCAAGUCUUUGCUAUUACAAUUUGGCAUGUUUGUUUUGCUUGAAAUGACUUAAUUCUAUGCAAACAUGGUGAUUAUUAUGCUAGGGAUGUUUAUGGUAUACUGAUUAUUAUGUUUAUUAUGCACAUUAGGAACACAAUCAGGAAAAUGUCAUGCAUCUCUAGCCGCAUUUAUGAUUCCUAAGUAACAAAUGAAUAAACAAAAUUCAGUGUCUUAGCUUCAACCAAGGCAUCACCAAAAUGUUCAGCAAUCUCAGGUCAACAAGAACUUGCCUUUAGGUUUUACUAGUCUCUUCCUUGUGUAGUAAAUUAUGAAAUCCAAUAGAAUAAUACAUACAGCACUUGUCAAAAUGAUCACCACCAAUAAUCGCCUAUUAUGUUGUUUUCUGCCACCAACCUAUAAUUUAGACUGGCAUAAAUUAAUUGAGAGUGAAACUUUUUCUUUUUCGUAACAAGAAUCGAGGGACAAUUUUGUGUAGCAGGAACUUGAAUUAGUACAAAAUAUAAUUUAACUACAAAAUAAAGUAAAACUGUUGUAUGCCAGAUUUCUUAGUAAUUUAGACUUACCCUCUCUUUAUUUUGUUGAUAUUUGAACUCAUUUAUAGUUUGAUAGUGUUACAAAUUUGAAGAUAUAUUCCAGGAGGUGUAUAAAGAGAGAUGGAAGCAAAAAUUUGAAGAACAUUCAAUAUGGUAUGAGCAUAGGCUAAUUGAUGAUAUGGUGGCAUAUGCACUCAAAAGUGAAGGUGGAUAUGUUUGGGCUUGCAAGAAUUAUGAUGGUGACGUCCAAAGUAAUUUACUUGCCUAAGGUGUAAAAUACAUCUGGACCAUUCUGAUUAGAUUCAUUCUUGAUCCAAACUGUCAAAAGUGGUUGUAGAUUCACUAGUUUUAGUUUGGAAAACCAUACUGGAGCAAUGUAUCAAUGAACAUAGCCAAAAUUUCCUGCAAUAACACAGAUUUGUAUGAUUUAUUACUUUUUAA
Arachis ipaensis is the source of this 1844-nucleotide long non-coding RNA. RefSeq lists it as uncharacterized. The record is from RefSeq and is a predicted model, not a curated record. NCBI's taxonomy places the organism in Eukaryota, Viridiplantae, Streptophyta, Magnoliopsida, Fabales, Fabaceae.